UAGCUCAGUUGGUAGAGUGUCGGCCUUGCAUGCAGAAGGCCCUGGGUUCGAUCCCCAG
Molecule: transfer RNA, 58 nt
Filed under: Ictidomys tridecemlineatus (thirteen-lined ground squirrel)
Lineage: Eukaryota; Metazoa; Chordata; Mammalia; Rodentia; Sciuridae
Also listed under: 1 other name
Description: Spermophilus tridecemlineatus (thirteen-lined ground squirrel) tRNA
Rfam family: tRNA
About the family: Transfer RNA (tRNA) molecules are approximately 80 nucleotides in length. Their secondary structure includes four short double-helical elements and three loops (D, anti-codon, and T loops). Further hydrogen bonds mediate the characteristic L-shaped molecular structure. tRNAs have two regions of fundamental functional importance: the anti-codon, which is responsible for specific mRNA codon recognition, and the 3' end, to which the tRNAs corresponding amino acid is attached (by aminoacyl-tRNA synthetases). tRNAs cope with the degeneracy of the genetic code in two manners: having more than one tRNA (with a specific anti-codon) for a particular amino acid; and 'wobble' base-pairing, i.e. permitting non-standard base-pairing at the 3rd anti-codon position.
Source: Rfam by way of RNAcentral